Molecule: ribosomal RNA, 497 nt
Filed under: uncultured bacterium
Lineage: Bacteria
Description: partial 16S ribosomal RNA
Rfam family: Bacterial small subunit ribosomal RNA
Source: RNAcentral
GACGAACGCUGGCGGCGUGCCUAAUACAUGCAAGUAGAACGCUGAAGCGAGGAGCUUGCUCUUCUUGGAUGAGUUGCGAACGGGUGAGUAACGCGUAGGUAACCUGCCUUGUAGCGGGGGAUAACUAUUGGAAACGAUAGCUAAUACCGCAUAACAAUGGAUGACACAUGUCAUUUAUUUGAAAGGGGCAAUUGCUCCACUACAAGAUGGACCUGCGUUGUAUUAGCUAGUAGGUGAGGUAAUGGCUCACCUAGGCGACGAUACAUAGCCGACCUGAGAGGGUGAUCGGCCACACUGGGACUGGGACACGGCCCAGACUCCUACGGGAGGCAGCAGUAGGGAAUCUUCGGCAAUGGGGGCAACCCUGACCGAGCAACGCCGCGUGAGUGAAGAAGGGUUUCGGAUCGUAAAGCUCUGUUGUAAGUCAAGAACGGGUGUGAGAGUGGAAAGUUCACACUGUGACGGUAGCUUACCAGAAAGGGACGGCUAACUACGUG